UACAGUAUAGAUGAUGUAC
Molecule: non-coding RNA, 19 nt
Filed under: Sus scrofa (pig)
Lineage: Eukaryota; Metazoa; Chordata; Mammalia; Artiodactyla; Suidae
Also listed under: 4 other names
Gene: ssc-miR-144
Source: miRBase by way of RNAcentral